RNAcentral lists this ribosomal RNA (499 nucleotides) under uncultured bacterium. Its description in RNAcentral is "bacterial SSU rRNA". It matches the Rfam family "Bacterial small subunit ribosomal RNA", at positions 24 to 518 of the family's 1533-position model. The record is from RNAcentral.
UCAGGAUGAACGCUAGCGACAGGCCUAACACAUGCAAGUCAGGGGCAGCACAAGGAGCAAUCUGAGGUGGCGACCGGCGCACGGGUGAGUAACACGUAUGCAACCUGCCUGUAAGCGGGGAAUAACCCGUUGAAAGACGGACUAAUACCGCAUAAUACUAAAUUACUGCAUGGUAAUUUAUUUAAACAUUUAUGGCUUACAGAUGGGCAUGCGCAUGAUUAGCUAGUUGGAGAGGUAACGGCUCCCCAAGGCAACGAUCAUUAGGGGUUCUGAGAGGAAGGUCCCCCACACUGGUACUGAGACACGGACCAGACUCCUACGGGAGGCAGCAGUGAGGAAUAUUGGUCAAUGGACGAGAGUCUGAACCAGCCAAGUCGCGUGCAGGAAGAAAUGUCCUAUGGAUUGUAAACUGCUUUUGCAGGGGAAUAAAGUGAGCCACGUGUGGUUUUUUGUAUGUACUCUGCGAAUAAGGAUCGGCUAACUCCGUGCCAGCAGCCGC